This 1354-nucleotide ribosomal RNA is filed under the name uncultured bacterium. RNAcentral describes it as "bacterial SSU rRNA". It matches the Rfam family "Bacterial small subunit ribosomal RNA", at positions 19 to 1394 of the family's 1533-position model. The record is from RNAcentral.
CCGGCUCAGGACGAACGCUGGCGGCGCGCCUAACACAUGCAAGUCGAACGAGAGAUGAGGAGCUUGCUCUUCAAAUCGAGUGGCGAACGGGUGAGUAACGCGUGAGGAACCUGCCUCAAAGAGGGGGACAACAGUUGGAAACGACUGCUAAUACCGCAUAAGCCCACGGCUCGGCAUCGAGCAGAGGGAAAAGGAGCAAUCCGCUUUGAGAUGGCCUCGCGUCCGAUUAGCUAGUUGGUGAGGUAACGGCCCACCAAGGCGACGAUCGGUAGCCGGACUGAGAGGUUGAACGGCCACAUUGGGACUGAGACACGGCCCAGACUCCUACGGGAGGCAGCAGUGGGGAAUAUUGCACAAUGGGGGAAACCCUGAUGCAGCGACGCCGCGUGGAGGAAGAAGGUCUUCGGAUUGUAAACUCCUGUUGUUGAGGAAGAUAAUGACGGUACUCAACAAGGAAGUGACGGCUAACUACGUGCCAGCAGCCGCGGUAAAACGUAGGUCACAAGCGUUGUCCGGAAUUACUGGGUGUAAAGGGAGCGCAGGCGGGAGAACAAGUUGGAAGUGAAAUCCAUGGGCUCAACCCAUGAACUGCUUUCAAAACUGUUUUUCUUGAGUAGUGCAGAGGUAGGCGGAAUUCCCGGUGUAGCGGUGGAAUGCGUAGAUAUCGGGAGGAACACCAGUGGCGAAGGCGGCCUACUGGGCACCAACUGACGCUGAGGCUCGAAAGUGUGGGUAGCAAACAGGAUUAGAUACCCUGGUAGUCCACACCGUAAACGAUGAUUACUAGGUGUUGGAGGAUUGACCCCUUCAGUGCCGCAGUUAACACAAUAAGUAAUCCACCUGGGGAGUACGACCGCAAGGUUGAAACUCAAAGGAAUUGACGGGGGCCCGCACAAGCAGUGGAGUAUGUGGUUUAAUUCGACGCAACGCGAAGAACCUUACCAAGUCUUGACAUCCUGCGACGCACAUAGAAAUAUGUGUUUCCUUCGGGACGCAGAGACAGGUGGUGCAUGGUUGUCGUCAGCUCGUGUCGUGAGAUGUUGGGUUAAGUCCCGCAACGAGCGCAACCCUUAUGGUCAGUUACUACGCAAGAGGACUCUGGCCAGACUGCCGUUGACAAAACGGAGGAAGGUGGGGAUGACGUCAAAUCAUCAUGCCCUUUAUGACUUGGGCUACACACGUACUACAAUGGCGUUAAACAAAGAGAAGCAAGACCGCGAGGUGGAGCAAAACUCAGAAACAACGUCCCAGUUCGGACUGCAGGCUGCAACUCGCCUGCACGAAGUCGGAAUUGCUAGUAAUCGUGGAUCAGCAUGCCACGGUGAAUACGUUCCCGGGCCUUGUACACACCGCC